RNAcentral lists this long non-coding RNA (1285 nucleotides) under Salmo salar (Atlantic salmon). RNAcentral describes it as "lncRNA (ENSSSAG00000084041.1)". The record is from RNAcentral. Lineage: Eukaryota; Metazoa; Chordata; Actinopteri; Salmoniformes; Salmonidae.
CCAAUGUUCCUGUACCCAAGAAGGUAAAGCCCCAACAGGUUAAGCUUGAGGCCCCAGGUCUCAACCCCGCCCUGUGCGUUUGGGUCCUGGACUCCCUGACGGGCCGCUCCCAGGUGGUGAAGGUAGGAAAACAACAUCUCCACUUCGCUGAUCCUCAACACUGGGGCCCCACAAGGGUGCAUGCUCAGCCCCCUCCUGUACUCCCUGUUCAUGCACACCUCCAAUUUGAUCAUCAAGUUUGCAAACGACACAACAGUAGUAGGCUUGAUCACCAACAACGAUGAGACUAUAGGGAGGAGGUGAGGGCACUCAGAGUGUGGUGUCAGGAAAACAACCUCUCACUUAAUGUCAACAAAACAAAAGAGAUGAUCGAUGACUUCAGGAAACAACAGAGAGAGCACCCCCCUAUCCACAUCGAUGGGACAGCAGUGGAGAAGGUGGAAAGUUUCAAGUUCCUCGGUGUACAUGUCACAGACAAACUGAAAUGGUCCACCCACACAGACAGCGUGGUGAAGAAGGAGCAACAGAGUCUCUUCAACCUCAGGAGGCUGAAGAAAUUUGGCUUGUCACCUAAAACCCUCACAAACUUCUACUUGAGAGCAUCCUGUCGGGCUGUAUCACCGCCUGGUACGGCAACUGCACCGCCCACAACCGCAGGGCUCUCCAGAGGGUGGUGCAGUCUGCACAACGCAUCACCGGGGGCAAACUACCUGACCUCCAGGACAACUACAGCACCCGAUGUCACAGGAAGGCCAAAAAGAUCAUCAAGGACAACAACCACCAACCGCCACUGCCUGUUCAGCCCGCUACCAUCCAGAAGGCGAGGUCAGUACAGGUGCAUCAAAGCUGGGACCGAGAGACAAAAAAAUAGCUUCUAUCUCAAGGCCAUCAGACUGUUAAAUAGCCAUCACUAACACAGAAAGGCUGCUGCCUACAUAUAGUCUUGAAAUCAUCGGCCACUCUAACAAAUGGAUCACUUGUUACUUUAUUAAUGUCACUUUAAUAAUGAUGUUUACAUAUCUUGCACUACUCAUCCCAAAUGUAUAUACUGUAUUUUAUACCAUCUACUGCAUCUCGUCUAUGCCGGUCGGUCAUGACCCAUCCAUAUAUUUAUAUGUACAUAUUCGUAUUCCACCCCUUUUACUUAGAUAUAUGUGUAUUAAGUAGUUGUUGUGGAAUUGUUAGAUUACUUGUUUGAUAUUGCUGCACUGUCGGAACUAUUAGAGGCACAAGCAUUUCGCUACACUCGCAAUAACAUCUGCUUACCAUGUGUAUGUGACCAAUA